RNAcentral lists this ribosomal RNA (616 nucleotides) under uncultured Enterobacteriaceae bacterium. RNAcentral describes it as "SSU rRNA". It matches the Rfam family "Bacterial small subunit ribosomal RNA", at positions 85 to 697 of the family's 1533-position model. Lineage: Bacteria; Pseudomonadati; Pseudomonadota; Gammaproteobacteria; Enterobacterales; Enterobacteriaceae. The record is from RNAcentral.
CGGGUGACGAGCGGCGGACGGGUGAGUAAUGUCUGGGAAACUGCCUGAUGGANGGGGAUAACUACUGGAAACGGUAGCUAAUACCGCAUAACGUCGCAAGACCAAAGUGGGGGACCUUCGGGCCUCAUGCCAUCAGAUGUGCCCAGAUGGGAUUAGCUAGUAGGUGGGGUAACGGCUCACCUAAGCGACGAUCCCUAGCUGGUCUGAGAGGAUGACCAGCCACACUGGAACUGAGACACGGUCCAGACUCCUACGGGAGGCAGCAGUGGGGAAUAUUGCACAAUGGGCGCAAGCCUGAUGCAGCCAUGCCGCGUGUGUGAAGAAGGCCUUCGGGUUGUAAAGCACUUUCAGCGGGGAGGAAGGCGUUAAGGUUAAUAACCUUGGCGAUUGACGUUACCCGCAGAAGAAGCACCGGCUAACUCCGUGCCAGCAGCCGCGGUUAUACGGAGGGUGCAAGCGUUAAUCGGAAUUACUGGGCGUAAAGCGCACGCAGGCGGUCUGUCAAGUCGGAUGUGAAAUCCCCGGGCUCAACCUGGGAACUGCAUUCGAAACUGGCAGGCUAGAGUCUUGUAGAGGGGGGUAGAAUUCCAGGUGUAGCGGUGAAAUGCGUAGAGAU